RNAcentral lists this ribosomal RNA (254 nucleotides) under uncultured bacterium. RNAcentral's name for it is "partial 16S ribosomal RNA". It matches the Rfam family "Bacterial small subunit ribosomal RNA", at positions 524 to 776 of the family's 1533-position model. The record is from RNAcentral.
UACAGAGGCGGCAAGCGUUGUUCGGAAUUAUUGGGCGUAAAGAGCACGUAGGCGGCCCUGAAAGUCAGUUGUGAAAGCCUUCUGCUUAACGGAAGAACGGCAUCUGAUACUCCAGGGCUAGAGUGCGGGAGGGGAGAGUGGAACUUCUGGUGGAGCGGUGAAAUGCGUAGAUAUCAGAAGGAACGCCGGCGGCGAAAGCGACUCUCUGGUCCGUAACUGACGCUGAGUGUGCGAAAGCUAGGGGAGCAAACGGG